GCUCUUGUAGCGCAGUUGGUUAGAGCACCUGUUUUGUAAGCAGGAGGUCUUGAGUUCAACUCUCAACAAGAGAA
Transfer RNA from Ipomoea nil (Japanese morning glory), 74 nucleotides. It matches the Rfam family "tRNA". Rfam says of the family: Transfer RNA (tRNA) molecules are approximately 80 nucleotides in length. Their secondary structure includes four short double-helical elements and three loops (D, anti-codon, and T loops). NCBI's taxonomy places the organism in Eukaryota, Viridiplantae, Streptophyta, Magnoliopsida, Solanales, Convolvulaceae. The record is from Rfam.